RNAcentral lists this ribosomal RNA (1988 nucleotides) under Klebsiella aerogenes UCI 27. Its description in RNAcentral is "bacterial SSU rRNA". The stretch from base 844 to 1988 matches the Rfam family "Bacterial small subunit ribosomal RNA". The record is from RNAcentral. Lineage: Bacteria; Pseudomonadati; Pseudomonadota; Gammaproteobacteria; Enterobacterales; Enterobacteriaceae.
CGACUUAUAUUCUGUAGCAAGGUUAACCGUAUAGGGGAGCCGCAGGGAAACCGAGUCUUAACUGGGCGUUAAGUUGCAGGGUAUAGACCCGAAACCCGGUGAUCUAGCCAUGGGCAGGUUGAAGGUUGGGUAACACUAACUGGAGGACCGAACCGACUAAUGUUGAAAAAUUAGCGGAUGACUUGUGGCUGGGGGUGAAAGGCCAAUCAAACCGGGAGAUAGCUGGUUCUCCCCGAAAGCUAUUUAGGUAGCGCCUCGUGAAUUCAUCUUCGGGGGUAGAGCACUGUUUCGGCUAGGGGGUCAUCCCGACUUACCAACCCGAUGCAAACUACGAAUACCGAAGAAUGUUAUCACGGGAGACACACGGCGGGUGCUAACGUCCGUCGUGAAGAGGGAAACAACCCAGACCGCCAGCUAAGGUCCCAAAGUCACAGUUAAGUGGGAAACGAUGUGGGAAGGCACAGACAGCCAGGAUGUUGGCUUAGAAGCAGCCAUCAUUUAAAGAAAGCGUAAUAGCUCACUGGUCGAGUCGGCCUGCGCGGAAGAUGUAACGGGGCUAAACUGUGCACCGAAGCUGCGGCAGCGACACUUAGGUGUUGUUGGGUAGGGGAGCGUUCUGUAAGCCUGCGAAGGUGGCCUGUGAGGGUUGCUGGAGGUAUCAGAAGUGCGAAUGCUGACAUAAGUAACGAUAAUGCGGGUGAAAAGCCCGCACGCCGGAAGACCAAGGGUUCCUGUCCAACGUUAAUCGGGGCAGGGUGAGUCGACCCCUAAGGCGAGGCCGAAAGGCGUAGUCGAUGGGAAACAGGUUAAUAUUCCUGUACUUGGUGUUACUGCGAAGGGGGGACGGAGAAGGCUAUGUUAGCCGGGCGACGGUUGUCCCGGUUUAAGCAUGUAGGCGGAGGUUCCAGGUAAAUCCGGUACCUUUUNGAUUGACGUUACUCGCAGAAGAAGCACCGGCUAACUCCGUGCCAGCAGCCGCGGUAAUACGGAGGGUGCAAGCGUUAAUCGGAAUUACUGGGCGUAAAGCGCACGCAGGCGGUCUGUCAAGUCGGAUGUGAAAUCCCCGGGCUCAACCUGGGAACUGCAUUCGAAACUGGCAGGCUAGAGUCUUGUAGAGGGGGGUAGAAUUCCAGGUGUAGCGGUGAAAUGCGUAGAGAUCUGGAGGAAUACCGGUGGCGAAGGCGGCCCCCUGGACAAAGACUGACGCUCAGGUGCGAAAGCGUGGGGAGCAAACAGGAUUAGAUACCCUGGUAGUCCACGCCGUAAACGAUGUCGACUUGGAGGUUGUGCCCUUGAGGCGUGGCUUCCGGAGCUAACGCGUUAAGUCGACCGCCUGGGGAGUACGGCCGCAAGGUUAAAACUCAAAUGAAUUGACGGGGGCCCGCACAAGCGGUGGAGCAUGUGGUUUAAUUCGAUGCAACGCGAAGAACCUUACCUACUCUUGACAUCCAGAGAACUUAGCAGAGAUGCUUUGGUGCCUUCGGGAACUCUGAGACAGGUGCUGCAUGGCUGUCGUCAGCUCGUGUUGUGAAAUGUUGGGUUAAGUCCCGCAACGAGCGCAACCCUUAUCCUUUGUUGCCAGCGGUUCGGUCGGGAACUCAAAGGAGACUGCCAGUGAUAAACUGGAGGAAGGUGGGGAUGACGUCAAGUCAUCAUGGCCCUUACGAGUAGGGCUACACACGUGCUACAAUGGCAUAUACAAAGAGAAGCGACCUCGCGAGAGCAAGCGGACCUCAUAAAGUAUGUCGUAGUCCGGAUUGGAGUCUGCAACUCGACUCCAUGAAGUCGGAAUCGCUAGUAAUCGUAGAUCAGAAUGCUACGGUGAAUACGUUCCCGGGCCUUGUACACACCGCCCGUCACACCAUGGGAGUGGGUUGCAAAAGAAGUAGGUAGCUUAACCUUCGGGAGGGCGCUUACCACUUUGUGAUUCAUGACUGGGGUGAAGUCGUAACAAGGUAACCGUAGGGGAACCUGCGGUUGGAUCACCU